Molecule: ribosomal RNA, 416 nt
Filed under: uncultured Lactobacillus sp.
Lineage: Bacteria; Bacillati; Bacillota; Bacilli; Lactobacillales; Lactobacillaceae
Description: bacterial SSU rRNA
Rfam family: Bacterial small subunit ribosomal RNA
Source: RNAcentral
CUGUGAAACAAGAUACAGACUAGCGGCGGACGGGUGAGUAACACGUGGGUAACCUGCCCAAGAGAUCGGGAUAACACCUGGAAACAGAUGCUAAUACCGGAUAACAACAGAUGAUGCCUAUCAACUGUUUAAAAGAUGGUUCUGCUAUCACUCUUGGAUGGACCUGCGGUGCAUUAGCUAGUUGGUAGGGUAACGGCCUACCAAGGCGAUGAUGCAUAGCCGAGUUGAGAGACUGAUCGGCCACAUUGGGACUGAGACACGGCCCAAACUCCUACGGGAGGCAGCAGUAGGGAAUCUUCCACAAUGGACGCAAGUCUGAUGGAGCAACGCCGCGUGAGUGAAGAAGGGUUUCGGCUCGUAAAGCUCUGUUGUUGGUGAAGAAGGACAGGGGUAGUAACUGACCUUUGUUUGACGGU